UGAGGGAAAGCUGCAAAGUACUCUGAAGAGAGAGUUCAAUAGGACGUGAACCCGUCUGCAGGGAAACGGGUGAGACCGCACGUUGGACCUACCGUGGAUUCAGCNCGAGGGUCGCCUCUCGGGUGCACUUCCGCGAUGGUAGGCUGCGUGGGGAUCGGUUCGCCCCGCGCUUGAAGUCGCAAGGGGCGGUAGUGGGGAAGUUUCGGCCUCUCUGCGAUGUACCCCCGCGUUCGUUGGCCGCGGCGCGGACCGAGGAAUCGGAAUCGGAAUCUUUAUCUCGAUACCGGGUCGUCGCGAAGGUUCGACUGGAUGGGGGCUGUUCUUCGAUCGGCCUCCUCCGACCGCCGUCGCGUUCUUUCCCGGCGAAUGAUCUUCGAUCUACGAUCUCCACGCUCAGGUCGGCACCUCACCCGACCC
This 417-nucleotide ribosomal RNA is filed under the name Caecosagitta macrocephala. Its description in RNAcentral is "partial 28S ribosomal RNA". Lineage: Eukaryota; Metazoa; Chaetognatha; Sagittoidea; Aphragmophora; Sagittidae. The record is from RNAcentral.